Molecule: ribosomal RNA, 492 nt
Filed under: uncultured bacterium
Lineage: Bacteria
Description: partial 16S ribosomal RNA
Rfam family: Bacterial small subunit ribosomal RNA
Source: RNAcentral
AGUGAACGCUGGCGGUAGGCCUAACACAUGCAAGUCGAACGGCAGCACAGUAAGAGCUUGCUCUUACGGGUGGCGAGUGGCGGACGGGUGAGGAAUACAUCGGAAUCUACUUUUUCGUGGGGGAUAACGUAGGGAAACUUACGCUAAUACCGCAUACGACCUACGGGUGAAAGCAGGGGAUCUUCGGACCUUGCGCGAUUGAAUGAGCCGAUGUCGGAUUAGCUAGUUGGCGGGGUAAAGGCCCACCAAGGCGACGAUCCGUAGCUGGUCUGAGAGGAUGAUCAGCAACACUGGAACUGAGACACGGUCCAGACUCCUACGGGAGGCAGCAGUGGGGAAUAUUGGACAAUGGGCGCAAGCCUGAUCCAGCCAUACCGCGUGGGUGAAGAAGGCCUUCGGGUGGUAAAGCCCUUUUGUUGGGAAAGAAAAGCAGCAGGUUAAUACCCCGCUGUUCUGACGGUACCCAAAGAAUAAGCACCGGCUAACUUCGUG